Gossypium raimondii (Peruvian cotton) is the source of this 108-nucleotide non-coding RNA. Lineage: Eukaryota; Viridiplantae; Streptophyta; Magnoliopsida; Malvales; Malvaceae. The record is from Rfam.
AUACCAUGAUGUGGAAACUUACGAAGCAAUUCCUUGAAUUUUUACCAUUCCUCAUAUAAAGACUCGUCAUUCAACUACUGAAAAGUGGUUAUCUCAUUUUGUAACUUU